RNAcentral lists this ribosomal RNA (253 nucleotides) under uncultured bacterium. Its description in RNAcentral is "partial 16S ribosomal RNA". It matches the Rfam family "Bacterial small subunit ribosomal RNA", at positions 524 to 776 of the family's 1533-position model. The record is from RNAcentral.
UACGUAGGGUGCGAGCGUUGUCCGGAAUUACUGGGCGUAAAGCGUGCGUAGGUGGUUCGUUGUGUCUGUGGUGAAAGCCCCGGGCUUAACCUGGGAAUGGCCAUGGAAACUGGCGAGCUGGAGUCUGGCAGAGGGGGGUGGAAUUCCGCGUGUAGCAGUGAAAUGCGUAGAGAUGCGGAGGAACACCGAUGGCGAAGGCAGCCCCCUGGGCUAAGACUGACGCUGAGGCACGAAAGCGUGGGGAGCAAACAGG